UUUCUUCGGAUUGAAGUUUUGUGACUGAGUGGCGGACGGGUGAGUAACGCGUGGGUAACCUGCCUCAUACAGGGGGAUAACAGUUAGAAAUGACUGCUAAUACCGCAUAAGCGCACAGGAUCGCAUGAUCCAGUGUGAAAAACUCCGGUGGUAUGGGAUGGACCCGCGUCUGAUUAGCCAGUUGGCAGGGUAACGGCCUACCAAAGCGACGAUCAGUAGCCGACCUGAGAGGGUGACCGGCCACAUUGGGACUGAGACACGGCCCAAACUCC
RNAcentral lists this ribosomal RNA (272 nucleotides) under uncultured Roseburia sp. RNAcentral describes it as "partial 16S ribosomal RNA". It matches the Rfam family "Bacterial small subunit ribosomal RNA", at positions 75 to 339 of the family's 1533-position model. The record is from RNAcentral. Lineage: Bacteria; Bacillati; Bacillota; Clostridia; Lachnospirales; Lachnospiraceae.